Molecule: RNase P RNA, 390 nt
Filed under: Rubricoccus marinus
Lineage: Bacteria; Pseudomonadati; Rhodothermota; Rhodothermia; Rhodothermales; Rubricoccaceae
Description: Bacterial RNase P class A
Rfam family: Bacterial RNase P class A
About the family: Ribonuclease P (RNase P) is a ubiquitous endoribonuclease, found in archaea, bacteria and eukarya as well as chloroplasts and mitochondria. Its best characterised activity is the generation of mature 5'-ends of tRNAs by cleaving the 5'-leader elements of precursor-tRNAs. Cellular RNase Ps are ribonucleoproteins.
Source: Rfam by way of RNAcentral
CGCGUCGGCUGGACCGUCGCUCCAAUAGGGCCUCGGCCUCUGGCGGAGAGGAAAGUCCGGACACCGAAGGGCACCCCGCUCCAUGAAAAUGGAGGCGCCAGAGGCGUAGGCCUCCGGUGACGGCAUGUGCAGCAGAAAACAGACCAGCCGAUGGCCUUCGGGCACAGGUGAUGGGUGAAACGGUGGGGUAAGAGCCCACCAGCGCGUUCGGGCGACCGGCGCGGCUGGGUAAACCCCGGGGGGUGCAAGGCCACGCAGCGUUCCCUCUCUCGCGAGAGGCCAGGCGGCCCGCCUGGAGCGACGCGGGUAGGCCGCGCAGAUAGAUGACGGUCCACCGCUAGGGCGCGCCUCUGGCGGGGACAGAAUCCGGCUUACAGGCCGACGCGCACG